AGCGAGGUCUCUCGAUUGUCCUCAAGGCAAAUUGUUCAGGGCAGAUCCCGGUUUCAAAGCUCUGAUCUGUGACUUGCAAGAUCAGAGCUGGCGGCUCUCAGCUCCUUCUGGGACACCUGGUUCUCUGGGAACGUUUCUGGGGCAAAGAUUCUAUCGCGCCGGCACAGCGGUAUCAUCGUGAAAGGGCAGCGAAGUGGGAACUCCGGACAGUGUCCAGGUUUGACCACAUCUGAGGAACGAAGCCACCAGGUGAGUUGGGGGCACCUGUGAGUCCUUGCUGGGCAUGGGUCCCAGCUCGUCCCGUGGACUCGUCCCCUGAGGACGUUCCCCACCCCGAGCGCACACAGGACCGCCUCACCCUACACCCACCCAUCGCCCUCCAUUCAGGCUGCACCAAGUGGAGGCAGAGGAGGAGGAAAAUCCCGAUCUCCUUUGGACACUUCCCUUCCAUCACUCUCGUAGAAGAAUGGACAGGAAACAACUUGUUAAACACAGUUUCCAAAUUACAAGCCAUCGAAAGCACAACUCUGG
This is a long non-coding RNA of Myotis lucifugus (little brown bat), 531 nucleotides long. RefSeq lists it as uncharacterized. The record is from RefSeq and is a predicted model, not a curated record. NCBI's taxonomy places the organism in Eukaryota, Metazoa, Chordata, Mammalia, Chiroptera, Vespertilionidae. The transcript is spliced from 3 exons.